Molecule: ribosomal RNA, 253 nt
Filed under: uncultured bacterium
Lineage: Bacteria
Description: partial 16S ribosomal RNA
Rfam family: Bacterial small subunit ribosomal RNA
Source: RNAcentral
UACGUAGGGGGCAAGCGUUGUUCGGAAUUACUGGGCGUAAAGGGCGCGUAGGCGGCAUGGCAAGUCGGGAGUGAAAGGCCUGGGCUCAACCGAGGAACUGCUUUCGAGACUGCCAAGCUAGAGUGCGGAAGGGGCAUCUGGAAUUCCCAGUGUAGCGGUGAAAUGCGUAGAUAUCGGAAGGAACAUCAGUGGCGAAAGCGACUUCCUGGACCAAUACUGACGCUCAUGUGCGAAAGCGUGGGGAGCAAACAGG